CAGCAGCCACGGUAAUACAGAGGGUGCAAGCGUUAAUCGGAUUUACUGGGCGUAAAGGGCGCGUAGGUGGUUAUGUAAGUGAGAUGUGAAAUCCCCGGGCUCAACCUGGGAACUGCAUCUUAUACUGCGUAGCUGGAGUGCAGUAGAGGGUAGUGGAAUUUCCGGUGUAGCGGUGAAAUGCGUAGAUAUCGGAAGGAACACCAGUGGCGAAGGCGGCUACCUGGACUGACACUGACACUGAGGCGCGAAAGCGUGGGGAGCAAACAGGAUUAGAUACCCCUGUAGUCCCUGUCUCUUAUAA
Molecule: ribosomal RNA, 301 nt
Filed under: uncultured bacterium
Lineage: Bacteria
Description: partial 16S ribosomal RNA
Rfam family: Bacterial small subunit ribosomal RNA
Source: RNAcentral